GACGAACGCUGGCGGCGUGCUUAACACAUGCAAGUCGAACGGAAAGGCCCUGCUUUUGUGGGGUGCUCGAGUGGCGAACGGGUGAGUAACACGUGAGUAACCUGCCCUUGACUUUGGGAUAACUUCAGGAAACUGGGGCUAAUACCGGAUAGGAGCUCCUGCUGCAUGGUGGGGGUUGGAAAGUUUCGGCGGUUGGGGAUGGACUCGCGGCUUAUCAGCUUGUUGGUGGGGUAGUGGCUUACCAAGGCUUUGACGGGUAGCCGGCCUGAGAGGGUGACCGGCCACAUUGGGACUGAGAUACGGCCCAGACUCCUACGGGAGGCAGCAGUGGGGAAUAUUGCGCAAUGGGCGGAAGCCUGGUGCAGCAACGCCGCGUGCGGGAUGACGGCCUUCGGGUUGUAAACCGCUUUCGCCUGUGACGAAGCGUGAGUGACGGUAAUGGGUAAAGAAGCACCGGCUAACUACGUG
RNAcentral lists this ribosomal RNA (468 nucleotides) under uncultured bacterium. RNAcentral describes it as "partial 16S ribosomal RNA". It matches the Rfam family "Bacterial small subunit ribosomal RNA", at positions 28 to 507 of the family's 1533-position model. The record is from RNAcentral.